Molecule: ribosomal RNA, 253 nt
Filed under: uncultured bacterium
Lineage: Bacteria
Description: partial 16S ribosomal RNA
Rfam family: Bacterial small subunit ribosomal RNA
Source: RNAcentral
GACGAACCGUGCGAACGUUGUUCGGAAUCACUGGGCUUAAAGGGUGCGUAGGCGGGUUGUCCAGUCUGGGGUGAAAUCCCACGGCUCAACCGUGGAAUUGCCUCAGAUACUGAAGACCUCGAGGGAGGUAGGGGCGAGCGGAACUGUGGGUGGAGCGGUGAAAUGCGUUGAGAUCCACAGGAACUCCGGUGGCGAAGGCGGCUCGCUGGACCUCUUCUGACGCUGAGGCACGAAAGAUAGGGGAGCAUACGGG